UCGGCGGAUCAGCCCGCUCCCGGUAAAACGGGACGGCCGCCAGAGGACCCCCAAACUCUGUUUCUAUAUGUAACUUCUGAGUAAAACCAUAAAUAAAUCAAAACUUUCAACAACGGAUCUCUUGGUUCUGGCAUCGAUGAAGAACGCAGCAAAAUGCGAUAAGUAAUGUGAAUUGCAGAAUUCAGUGAAUCAUCGAAUCUUUGAACGCACAUUGCGCCCGCCAGUAUUCUGGCGGGCAUGCCUGUUCGAGCGUCAUUUCAACCCUCAAGCCCAGCUUGGUGUUGGGACUCGCGAGUCAAAUCGCGUUCCCCAAAUCGAUUGGCGGUCACGUCGAGCUUCCAUAGCGUAGUAGUAAAACCCUCGUUACUGGUAAUCGUCGCGGCCACGCCGUUAAACCCCAACUUCUGAAUGUUGACCUCGGAUCAGGUAGGAAUACCCGCUGAACUU
This 447-nucleotide ribosomal RNA is filed under the name Fusarium sp. CBMAI 1016. RNAcentral's name for it is "eukaryotic LSU rRNA". The stretch from base 102 to 255 matches the Rfam family "5.8S ribosomal RNA". Lineage: Eukaryota; Fungi; Ascomycota; Sordariomycetes; Hypocreales; Nectriaceae. The record is from RNAcentral.